GACGAACGCUGGCGGCGUGCUUAACACAUGCAAGUCGAACGGAAAGGCCCUGCUUUUGUGGGGUGCUCGAGUGGCGAACGGGAGAGUAACACGUGAGUAACCUGCCCUUGACUUUGGGAUAACUUCAGGAAACUGGGGCCAAUACCGGAUAGGAGCUCCUGCUGCAUGGUGGGGGUUGGAAAGUUUCGGCGGUUGGGGAUGGACUCGCGGCUUAUCAGCUUGUUGGUGGGGUAGUGGCUUACCAAGGCUUUGACGGGUAGCCGGCCUGAGAGGGUGACCGGCCACAUUGGGACUGAGAUACGGCCCAGACUCCUACGGGAGGCAGCAGUGGGGAAUAUUGCACAAUGGGCGGAAGCCUGAUGCAGCAACGCCGCGUGCGGGAUGACGGCCUUCGGGUUGUAAACCGCUUUCGCCUGUGACGAAGCGUGAGUGACGGUAAUGGGUAAAGAAGCACCGGCUAACUACGUGCCAGCAGCCGCGGUGAUACGUAGGGUGCGAGCGUUGUCCGGAUUUAUUGGGCGUAAAGGGCUCGUAGGUGGUUGAUCGCGUCGGAAGUGUAAUCUUGGGGCUUAACCCUGAGCGUGCUUUCGAUACGGGUUGACUUGAGGAAGGUAGGGGAGAAUGGAAUUCCUGGUGGAGCGGUGGAAUGCGCAGAUAUCAGGAGGAACACCAGUGGCGAAGGCGGUUCUCUGGGCCUUUCCUGACGCUGAGGAGCGAAAGCGUGGGGAGCGAACAGGCUUAGAUACCCUGGUAGUCCACGCUGUAAACGGUGGGUACUAGGUGUGGGGUCCAUUCCACGGGUUCCGUGCCGUAGCUAACGCUUUAAGUACCCCGCCUGGGGAGUACGGCCGCAAGGCUAAAACUCAAAGGAAUUGACGGGGCCCCGCACAAGCGGCGGAGCAUGCGGAUUAAUUCGAUGCAACGCGUAGAACCUUACCUGGGUUUGACAUGGAUCGGGAGUGCUCAGAGAUGGGUGUGCCUCUUUUGGGGUCGGUUCACAGGUGGUGCAUGGCUGUCGUCAGCUCGUGUCGUGAGAUGUUGGGUUAAGUCCCGCAACGAGCGCAACCCUUGUUCACUGUUGCCAGCACGUUAUGGUGGGGACUCAGUGGAGACCGCCGGGGUCAACUCGGAGGAAGGUGGGGAUGACGUCAAGUCAUCAUGCCCCUUAUGUCCAGGGCUUCACGCAUGCUACAAUGGCUGGUACAGAGAGUGGCGAGCCUGUGAGGGUGAGCGAAUCUCGGAAAGCCGGUCUCAGUUCGGAUUGGGGUCUGCAACUCGACCUCAUGAAGUCGGAGUCGCUAGUAAUCGCAGAUCAGCAACGCUGCGGUGAAUACGUUCCCGGG
This 1343-nucleotide ribosomal RNA is filed under the name uncultured bacterium. Its description in RNAcentral is "16S ribosomal RNA". It matches the Rfam family "Bacterial small subunit ribosomal RNA", at positions 28 to 1378 of the family's 1533-position model. The record is from RNAcentral.